RNAcentral lists this ribosomal RNA (429 nucleotides) under uncultured bacterium. RNAcentral's name for it is "SSU rRNA". It matches the Rfam family "Bacterial small subunit ribosomal RNA", at positions 370 to 808 of the family's 1533-position model. The record is from RNAcentral.
CAUGGGCGCAGCCUGAUGCAGCGACGCCGCGUGCGGGAUGACGGCCUUCCGGUUGUAAACCGCUUUUGACUGGGAGCAAGCCCUUCGGGGUGAGUGUACCUUUCGAAUAAGCACCGGCUAACUACGUGCCAGCAGCCGCGGUAAUACGUAGGGUGCAAGCGUUAUCCGGAAUUAUUGGGCGUAAAGGGCUCGUAGGCGGUUCGUCGCGUCCGGUGUGAAAGUCCAUCGCUUAACGGUGGAUCUGCGCCGGGUACGGGCGGGCUGGAGUGCGGUAGGGGAGACUGGAAUUCCCGGUGUAACGGUGGAAUGUGUAGAUAUCGGGAAGAACACCAAUGGCGAAGGCAGGUCUCUGGGCCGUUACUGACGCUGAGGAGCGAAAGCGUGGGGAGCGAACAGGAUUAGAUACCCUGGUAGUCCAAGGGCGAAUUC